GAAGGAGUAUAUGAACAAGGAAACAUUGAUGUAGCAAUUGAAAGACAACUCAAUAGAUUGCAUGCGAUAGAAGACAGUCAACAACUAAAUAGCUCUAUAACUUGCACAUCUAAGAUUGUGCCUUCUUCUGCAUUAUUGCAUGCUUGGUCUAAUGAAAGUGUAUGAUACAUGUGUGAGACAGCAUAAAUAAAUAGUCGAUUUUCUGGAAAAACUACU
This 216-nucleotide long non-coding RNA is filed under the name Glycine max (soybean). RNAcentral describes it as "long non-coding RNA (GMAX_LNC003226)". The record is from RNAcentral. Lineage: Eukaryota; Viridiplantae; Streptophyta; Magnoliopsida; Fabales; Fabaceae.